Non-coding RNA from Triticum aestivum (bread wheat), 134 nucleotides. The record is from Rfam. NCBI's taxonomy places the organism in Eukaryota, Viridiplantae, Streptophyta, Magnoliopsida, Poales, Poaceae.
AUGAUACACCCUCCGUCCCAAAAUUCUUGUCUUAGAUUUGUCUAGAUACAGAUGUAUCUAAUAUUAAACAUGACUUGACACAUCCGUAUCUAAACAAAUAUAAGACAAGUAUUUUGGGACAGAGGGAGUACAAA